Molecule: non-coding RNA, 12806 nt
Organism: Meleagris gallopavo (turkey)
Lineage: Eukaryota; Metazoa; Chordata; Aves; Galliformes; Phasianidae
Source: RefSeq, a predicted model, not a curated record
UAAAUUUAUUUCAGUUCAUAACAAUGUCAAAAUACUGCCAAAUUUUCUUACAGUGAGUCUAGGGAAAGCAUUAGGCUUAACCAUACAAAUCAAAUUGAGUUUGCCAAGGUGACCUUCAGAAACUUAUAAACCAUGCCAGUAGUAACGCGUGAUGACCUCAACAAGUCAUUCUAAGACAACCUUACUUACAGAAAAACUUUUGGUAAGGUGGCUGGGGAUAUUCUUGUAUGCAGACAGUUUAGAUUUUUCCCUGUAUUUAGUUCUUUGCUCCAGCUGUCCUGUUCUUACCCUGUCUCAUACCUUGACUCAGAGCAUGGCCUGAGUAACCUCUCAGUUUCUGCAGUGGUGCCAAAAAUAUUGUACAUGACUUUCUGGCUUUAAUUCCAUACAGAAUGAUCCAUGUAUCCCUGAUAUAAUUCUUCUAGUGUCAAGUAAUGGGGCUAUUUCCAUUGAGAAUUGCUAUAGGCAAACAGAUGCAAUUAAGCACCUAGUACAAUAAUACCAAGAAAUCCCAAUAAACUGAUGAAUGUGAAUUUAAAUCUUGUGCUCUUUCUAAUGAUUUCCCAUAUAAAUAGGUUAACAUCUUCUCUCCCUAUGUCUACGGGGAAAGGUUAAAAUACUAACAGGGAAUAUGGAUUUUCCAGUCAGUCAAGGAGAGCUCUUUCUAAUGCUCAUACAAUGCCAUGACUUCACAUAGCAGAGGUGGAGCACUUACAGGUAAUAUCCUGCACAUUCUUAUGGUAUUUCUUGGCAUCAGAGGCCUGCCAGAGACCCAGAAUUUCAGGAUACAUUAAAAACAUUCCAGUAUCCUCCCCAGUCCAUAUAAAGUCCUUGCUUUGGUCGGGAGGAAAUAUUUCAUGACAUUAGAUUUCUUUGCUAAAGGCUUGUCAGGAGCUUCAUCAAAGCACUUCAGAAAAUGUCUAGUUAAAAUAGUACAUAAACUGAGUAACAACAGCAGAGGGUCUGUGAUCCUAGGAUGUUUCUCAGGAAUAUUGUUCUUCAUCCAAAAAGAUACAGGAUUUUGUUCUGUAGUUUGUUCUGGUUUCUUAGAAGGGAUGGGAUGCAAGUGCUUUGGGACCAUCUCCUGGUCAAACAUUGUGUCUUCAUGUCAGGCUUGACCUCAGCAUCCGAAGUGCUGCGAGUAGCAUUGUGACGAGGAUCACCAAGCAGAUGUUCUUAGCAAAAUGGAAAAGUAGACUUACAUCCAGACCAGAGCAGUGUGCUCCAGACCACUUCAAAGCUAAAAAUAGCUUAUUUUUGAAGAGAUGAAAAACACAGAUAUUUGAAGCUCACUUCUAAAUACCAAUUUUGAAUUAGCUGAAAGGAUACCACGCAGCUCCCUCCAGUUUCCUGCCUUCAUCCUGACUUUUCUCACGUAUUUUCCCCUUAUUUUGUGAGUUAAACUGUCCUGUUUCACUUCCCAUAGCCAUCAAUUGCUGCCAAGGAAGGGUCGCAGGUGUCAGGGCUGGAAAAAGCAUCUCAACUGGUUCAAGCUUCUUGCUUCCUCACGGACCACACUGACAGUCACUCAACUCCUGACAAGUCUGCAAUAAAUAGCACUGUAGUAUUCCAGCAGUGUGCUGGAAUAGCAUUCUGCAGUUUUUCUUCUCUGUUUCUGUAUGAAACUCAGUAAAAAUAUUAAUCCAGUACACACACGCAGAAGAAUGCAUUUACUUUCAGUGGCUGCAUUUACCAUCAAAGUUGAUAGUGCUUCCUGAAAUUGGUUUCUGAUCCCCCUGAAAGACUGCGGGUUUUUCUUUCUUUCUUUCUUUUUUUUUUUUUCCGUAAAGGUUAACUUCAGGGAAACUGAACAACAUAUAUGAAACUCUAAAAUAUCAACUUGAAGAUAAAUUGUGGUACCAAGAGUGUAACUCAUGUGAACUGCCUCCAGUUCCCUCAAUUCCCGUGAAUUCCCAGUUUCCACUAGCGGGUGGCAGGCAGGUCAGAGUGUGGUUACUUUCUGCUAAGCUUGUGCCAACAUGUGGUUUUGGUCAUGACAGACAGGUAGGAGGGGAACGAUUUGGAGGGAGUGGAAAUACAAAUACUGUCUUCACACCAAGGAGGUACACCCAUUGGUUUUCACAGCACGGCAUUCAUUCAGUUUAGUCAGACCAUAAUGAAUCGUCUGCGUGUGACAGACCUGCUGCCUAAAAUACCAAGAAUGGUACAGCCUGCACAUUUCUGGCCAGCAGGUUGUCUCCUGUGAUUCAUUCAGCAUCCUUUCUCUGCUCUGCGUAUGAUGAUCUCUUGAGCGUGUAGUUGAAGGCAGGGCUAGAGCUGAUUCUGUUUCUAAAACGUCAGCUACAAGCAGCGUGUGGUGCAGCAUAAGAAGUACUUAAGUGCCCAAAUUUGCCAACAUAGAUUGCUAAGGCAAUCGCUGCUUUGUAGCAGAGACCCACACAAUGCUGGAAGGAACUGACUGCUUCUGCUGGCCAUUAGGAACAGCCCAACGAGGCUUCCCUCUCACUUCACUCUCCUUAACUUUGCAGCACUAAAAGUGGGAGCUGGCAGCUCCCCAGCAGUCCUGUGGCUGGUUUUAAUUUGCAUUAACUUUUCUGUAGACUGGGUCCAGCUGAAGUAUUUUCUUGUCUGUAUACAUGCUCCUGGCCCCAUUUUCCAGGACUUUGGCUUGUGCAAAAGCAGCAGGUUUGGGAAUGUCACUCGGAGGGUUUGGGCUGUAGAGCUGUCAUGGACUGAGAGUGCUCUGCCAGGGAGCCCUCUGUGAACGUAAGCAGGUCCCCCACACCUGCACAAACACCCCACCACUGUUCCCAAGGGUAAUUAGUGUUCUCUUAAUUAGCAGUUUGUACUUCUGCACAGCACACACUAUGACCUGCCUCCUGUCCUGCACCCAGGUGCAAAGGCUCUGCUGAUGGAUGCUACGUGCUUACAAAAUCUAAAACUGAAAAAUUGGGCAAUAUCAGAUUUACAUUUGUACAUGCAACCUGAAAUCUGCCCACUCACAUAUCUGUGUGCUGAGUGACAUAGGGGUGCUAGUGAAAUGUGUGAUCUAAACUCUUUCGCAAAACUAGGACAAAGGUUGCAGGAAAAGACAAGGAAGGCCUCUUGCAGCCUUCAAGUGCUAGAAUUUGCAAUUACUAUCUUAUUAACAUAGCUUUCUAUAGAUAAGACUAUGCUUUACAAAGAAGAAAGGUAUAAAAAGAAGCUUUGCUAGAGUUGCAGCGUGUUUUUUUGAUACAAGCUUCUUAUUGUUUCAUUACUUUAAUUGCCAGAGGACAGUUUGCUCUAUGCUAGGGCAGGACUCUGUCUCCAUGUGCUUGAUGUGCUACUGUAGGUGCCUAUGCUGGUACAGUAUAUCCUAUGAAAACAUGACAGAGUUCAGCAAUGAAAAACAUGCGUGCAUGACGGCUAUGACUUAAAGACAUCAGAGCCGAUGGAGAAAAGUUACUUUGUACUGAGGGUAAAAGGAUAGAAGGGGAAGUACUUCUUCCAUCUGAAGUUAAUAUGUGGAAACCUCACCAAAAUCCAACACUGAACACAUGUGGCCUUUUGGAAAGUGUUUCUGUGCAAAUGCGUCCCCAACAUCCAGAGUGAUAAAAAUCAUGUACUGAGCUGAGUCGAAUGGCGUAGCUGAAGUGGAGCUGUAAAUACAGUGGUAGGCGGUUUCCUGCCAAAACUCCCCUGCAUGUCCAAGAACCCACUGUGACUCAGCCAUUGCAGUCACUGGGAACUCAGCACAGACACCCUUUCUAGCUGGGUAUUUCUACUUCUCUUUUUGCACCAUGUCAAGAGGGGCUCUAUUCAUCCAUGGAGGAGAAAAACCUGACAGUAUGGCCCAGUAUUUUUGUUCUCUUAAAGUAACGAUCUUAUUGUAGAAAAGCAAGACUGCUGGAACUUCUUGUGAAACUGGCAGUCACCCAUGCCUGUCUGCUUGGAUUCUUGUUAGAUCUUCAUGUGAAAGUUCUUAGGAUUUCCAUUAAGAGUUUAAAUGGUUCUUACAUGCAUCUCUUGGUGGCCUGAAAGUGAAGUUUUUAUUGCUUUCCUUUUAUGUACAAGAAGACUGAAGAAUGACUUUUUUGUUUUAAAGUGUGAAUAUGCUGAAUUGGAGGGAGGUGAUUAAGUACUUGGUUAUAAUGCAUUUUCUAAUGUCCAUACUGUUCCUUCAAAGAGUUAGCAUCUUCAGAAAGAUGAUCCAAGCUGGAAGAAGCCACACCCUUGGCAAAAUAACAGCAAGAGCAAUGCUGAGUAGUUUCUAGGUCAGCAGCAUCUAGGGUCUCACCUGCCCAUGAAUAUUUGAAGCUGUCAAAUGUCAUCCCCUUAUUCCUCUGGAUUCAUAGCUUUGAUAUGUCUCUGUCAUUUAAGAUAACACUUCCUUUAGUCCGUUUUGAACCCGUGCAGAUGGUUGCCUCUGUAUGCAAAAAGUUCUGUACCCACCAAGCUUUACACUUAGCAUUGGCAAUUAAUAAAGCAAAUCUGAGAGAUUUGCAGUUCCCAUCAGCUAAGCUAGAUUGGGCUAUUCUGUUUUCCCUUCCUUUUCCCAUGCAGUAUUUAUUCUGUUGCUUCAUUUUUUCUUCUCUCAUUUCUAGCCUGUCUCAUCUCCUCCAGCUCACAUUCUUAUUCCUAAUUCUCCUUUUGUUUUUUUCUUUUUUCUUUUUUUUUUUUCAUCCUGUGUUAAUCUCAGCUAAUUCUGUAUUGGCUUCCACAAUUCUACUGGGACUCUGUCCCCAUCUGACCUUUCUCUUGCAUGAACAAAUUCCAGUGUCCCAGAUUUAAAAAUUUACUCCACUCUGCUUUUCUCUGCCUUCCAGCCUGCUGUUUAUUAAUUGCUUCCUGAAUUUUCUGCUUGAUACCCUUUUACUCUUUAACACUUCUUUUACUUUCAACAUGCUCUCCGUCUUUUACUUUCUUUCUCUGUCUCCAUUAACGUAUACUUCAGACAGUUUUGGUUUUUGUUCUGAGAAUCAUCUACCUUCUCCAGUUUUCCACUUAGCAUCUGAAGCAUAUCUAUGGUUCCGUUACUGAACUUCCUUUCUGGGAAGUGCAGGCUCCUUGUGCUUUGACUCAGGUCAUUAACAUCUAAGUGGAUUCAUUUUUUUCUUGCAAAUCGGGGGUUGGACUCGAUGAUCUCUGGAGGUCCCUUCCAACCCCUAUGAUUCUGUGAUCCUGUGAUUCCCAAAACAACCCACUUUUAUCCUCUUUUCCUCAGUCCCCUCCAGUAGGGCACACAACAGUGCUAUGCAGUUCAUUCUGUUUGAUGAAAGCCACUACAGAGUUGCUGCUCCUCAGACAAGAAAUCUUUUGCUGCUCUCACAGCUGUGACUUGUGGAGGGUUUGGUAUGUUUUGAAAUGCUCCAAACUCAAAAGCAAGAGUCAGGGUUUUCACCUAGAGUCCCUGAGGAGGAGAUACCCAAGCUGGCACCAGGAAGGGGCAGAGGGCAGAGGUGAGGGAUGCAGCGGUUGGCAAAGGGCAGUGAGAAGGGAGGCAGCACUGGGAGUGCCUGGCUCCUGGUUGGGGGCCUGAGGGCAAACACUGCCAGAGCCCUUGUAGUUCAGCACUUUCUUCUAUCAGGAAUACAGUGAUAUAGACUGUGAGCACAGUACAUCCACUUCCACGCAGAAAUUCUAAUUUCUGAAUCUUAUUUCACCGAGUGACUCGAAUUCUACUUCUCCUCUUCCCCCACACACUCCUUUUUUAAGUAUAUUAGCACUUAAGGAAAAUUUCUGGGCCACGUGGGUAGCAGUCCCAGUACCCCACAAACACAGAGCGGCUGCCGAGAUCCUGCUUUCUGAGAAGAGCUUACCAGAAUGACCGGAGUUGGGUGAGUAGGCAGAGCCUGGGCUGCUGCACAGUGCUGCACCCACCUGCAUUCCUGCGAGGCGCAAUGACUGCUGCUGUGCUGGGACGGCCCGUGCUCAUGUCGGUGAGGGAGAGCAUUGCACCCUAUCAGCCGCGGUGAGUCAUCUGCACCUUCUGCUACCUCUGGGGUGCAUUUUACUUCAGGUUACUUUAGGGCAACAUCACUGUCAAUGUUUCCUUUACUAGAAUCUGGAGCCACAGAGAUGAAAAUAAUUACCUCUGCCAGAGUCAUUAAAACUGCCAGCUAGUUCCCCAUAGAGAUAAAAGAAUCAGAUUUUGAGCGGCACUCAGCAGUGCCAUUCAAGUGCUCACUCUCUUCAUAAGAAAUAAUGAAGUUAGUGAAAUUCCCAAGUAUUCAAGCACAUGCACCUGCCUGCACUUUUUUUCUGAGUGAAUGGAAACAGAGCAAAGAAACAGGUUUGGGGCCAAUUAACCAUGAAAUAAAAGGAAUUCUGCCAGAAGACUAGCCAGCCCAUUUUUAAUUUGUGGCGUUCUUUUGUCUUAACGCUGUGUGCAACUUGACAUUAAGCUUUAACUUGGAAUGGGCUUCUUUACACCAUGACUCUGAAUUACAUGCACUCUUUUGGACUCACCAUAUUGUGAGGUUGCCAGUUUAAAAUUCCAUGUGGCCUAAAAUAAUUCAGUAACAGUGUCUGAACCCUGGAUGACAUGUCAUGCCUUUCAAUUCACAGCUCUGUGAUGGCUUGGAAAACUUUCCAUCUUGAGCUUCCCUUAACAUCUUCCUCUGUUUUUCUCUUGUACAUAUGAUGAAGUAGUUUGCAGGGACAGAUUUAAUAGGAACUUGAACUCAGAUUUUCAAAGAAAUUAGGAGAAAAACCUUUUUUUCUUGUGCACUGUGCCUGUCAGCUAUAACUGAGAGGGCUUUCUGGUGAAAUAGGAAAGCCACAAUGAAAAGAAAGGGAAACAAAGUUAACCAGAAAGACACUCAGUUUGUAUUCCGUCUGUUUAUAUUUGUGUCUCUUGUUCACAGGAAGUUCUGCUUUUAUCUUUAAUACUAUGCAAGUUCCUAUAAAAGUCAGUUUAGUUACAAUAUCACUCAGUUUCCAAAGAAAUCACUUGGAUUUGUAUUCAAAAAAAACUUGCUGGCAAGCCCCCUCUGCUGGAUGGAACCAUCAUGUUUUCAUCCCUGCAUGCUGAAGACAUCCAGUAAAAGCAUUACAGUUCAUUAUUGACAAAAUAGGUACAGGCUGAGUUCAGAAGAACAUUACUGCCUUUCUAUUACCUAUUAUUAUCCCAUGGGUUGAGAUUCAAAUAAGAGUUGGGGUGGUCACUGCAAAUAUGUUCAGGUCCCUACAUCUGAGUGAGUAUUCAGUCAAUCUGGCAUCCCGCUAUUUUAUCAUCUAAAUUCUUCUCAACUGUGUCCACUUUCUUCACUCCCAUUGUUUCUCUUAUGUAUUAUUUACAUCUUUUGCCAAUGAUCUCAUUGGAUGCAAUCAGAAUGUACUUACAUAAUAUGCCAGUACAGGAAAUAAAAAAAUAUGAAUCCCAGAAGUAGAUAUGCUUUUCCAGGGCCAUUCAAACUUUGAAGACCUGCUUUGCUUGUCUCUAAGCGUGACAAAGGAAGUUCACUAGGUGAAAAACAAUACUAACUGCUGUUUGAACCACGCUUUUUGUUUGUGUAUGACAAAGCCUUUUGCAGGGGCCAUCCUUUUAAUUACAGAUUGGGAAGCAGGCCUGGCAAGGGAAGACAAUCUAGUCACUAAAUUAGAACUAAAAAGACAUGGUUUUAAGCCCUGUUCUAAAACAGACUGUCUGGUGACCUUAUUUUAAUUAAUUAGGCUAAAAGCCAGAAAAGAGAUUUGCCACAACACUGAGCAUAGAAUUGUGAAGCUCCUGAGAUAAGGCGUUGGACCAGUUUUGUGGACCUCUGCAGUGUACAUGGAGAGCUGAGUUUCUCUGAAAGCAGAUCCAAAGUAGCCAGCAUGCCAUGCUAACAGCCAGUAAGGAAUUAUUGCCUACAGAGGUAAGUCUGAAACAUUUAUCCCUCUUGAGCUCACACACAUUAAUCAAAGGUUUAGAGAGUUCUGUUUUUCAAAAUCAGGUCUUCUAAGAAUGGCAGUCUAAAAAAUCAAGCAAGCUGAGCGAAUGUUGCUGGGGCAGGUGAUCAGUGUAUGGAAAACUGGGAUUUCUGCCCCACUUAGCAUGAUGACAGUCAAACUUUGAGUCCUCCCCUUUCUGGAAGGUGUCCUAACUGCUAAGCAGAGUUCUCUUCUCAAUGAAAGGAAAGGAGGAAUAUUUGUUAGCCAACGGAGACUCAGAGCCUAACAGCUUGAGCACUCACUUAUGAAUGGGAAAUACUGAAUUUCUGGUGUCUCCUCUGAGUCCUGUUAAAUACUGUUCUUUAAGCAGUUAUUAGACAAAGUACAUAAGUGGUAUUUGAAGUUGAGCCAGGACUCAGUGCCUCAUCUCUCUCAAAUCAAUGCCUAAACCUGCAGGCUUAAAGGACAGUCCCAUUCUUUCUGUCUGUAGCUCAGUGGCUCUAGAAUGCCUUUUUGUGCACUAAAGUGAAUUCACAAGACCAUAGAGUGCUUACUUCUAUCAGCUUGUGGCAAGGUCAUCUCUUCAAAAUGAGCUUGACAAGUAUGUGCUUGAGUCCCUUGGUGCCAGGAAGGGAUCUAAGCCUGAAUUCUCGAGUGAUCUCACUGGUCAACUACUGGAUAAAACUGGUGGAUUUAAAAGAUGAUUGAAAGAAAAUGUUUCUAAUGAAUACACUGAAGGGAUGAGAUUUUUUUUCAGUUUGCAAAAAUAGUGACAGUGGUCCUAUAAAGAUCAAAUUGUAAUAAAGAAUUGUAGAUAAAGAAAAACAUAAUGCAUUUGUGUCUUAUGUUAAUACUUUGUAUGUAAUUGUAUUUCAGAUGAAAAUGUGAGCUAAAGUUUCCUGGAAUAUACUGUAAGUACAACUUGUAUCCUAGCGAGUUUAAGUGAGUAGUCGUGAGUAUUCGUAUUAAGUGAGUUAGCUACAGUAGCCAAUAAAUGCUAAAACUAACAACAGGUUUGGCCCAGAAAGAAGUUCUGGGGAAGUUAAAAAACCGAACUUGUGCUUAGAACUUGCAUCUAACUCUGCACAGGACCAAAGCUGCUGCUGAAGUAGAAGUAGUCCUAGUUAUGUGUUUGCGAUGUUUUGUGAGUGCAGUAUUUCCUGUCUGCUGAAAUAUGCAGCUGCAUUGCCUCCCAGGUUUUAAGUCAUAUGUUUCUUGAUAACUGCAGCAGAGUGAAAAAGAUAGUUUUAUUGUAGGGUCCAUGAGCAAUGAAGGAAGAAAAGAAAGAAAGAAAAAAAAGAAGCAGAGCAUAAUCAGAGACUGCUCUAUAGUGGGGAGCGGGGAAGCUCUCCUUCCUCCUGAGGCAUUUGGCCAAGCUUAGACAAAGUUCAGAGCUUUUGUGGUUUGCAAUUGCGUUAUAGAUGUCUCAUCUCACCUUCACAGGAACCUUAUAUUUCCAUGAUCACAGCUAACCUGCUUCCACAGAGCCAAACUGCAUCAAUUCAAGCUGUAGCACUUGGUAAAAUCUGGGAAGUGGAGGCAGCAGCUCCCUUCCACCAGAACAGGAUGGCCAACCAGGGCUUGCCUACAUGGAACCUGCCCCUUCCCUUUCUCACCUUCUGAAAUGCACAGUCUGCCUACUUAGAGCUGCCACAAGAAGAUAGGACAUUUGAGCUAUUAAAAUGAGGUGCUGUAUAUUUAGACACUUGAAGAUAGUAUAACUGUGAAUAAAACACAGCAAAGGAAAGCCACGAUGGAAACUCAUUGUUCAGUACAUGCUUGGAUGAGAGAUGGCUACUGGAAAAAAUUAAAGCAUUUCUCCUAAAGCAUCUGUUGUUUUACACUAAUGAAACAACAAAGCAAUAAUAAAUCCUCUCUUACUCAUGUACCAGGAAUUUCAUGUAGCUUAAUGCAUGAUUACAGAUCAGAGAUUUCAAUUUCAAGAUAAUGUAAAUUGCAACUUGCAAAACAUGCAAAUUCCUUUGAAUUCAAGAACAGAAACUUAAGCGUUCCCCUCACUGUAAGAACAACACAGUCUCUCCUGACUUUGCAAGUCUUUACAAUUAUUAGUGAGUAACACUCCACAGCUGUGUGAUAAAGAUUACAGAAGCACUGGUGUAGCUAUAGUUUUAGGGUGGAAAAUGCAGCCUUUAGACAGAAAUUAUCUGUUUUACACAUUAAUUUUGCAGGGUGAAUUUAAAAGAUGCUCUAAUUACUUUCAGUUCCAUUUCCUUUGGUUGGAAUUUGUUUUCUCCAGCUGAUGUGUCCAGCAAGAAUGCAGGAUGGUACAAUUACAUUUAUAAGAAACAGAAGAGAAAGCAGCUUCAAGCAAAAAGGGCAUUGAGUGAACACUGCCACCUUAUUAGCCAUAUACUAUUUGAAGAUUCUGGAAAUAAAAUGCUGCUCUUCUGGUUGCUUUUCUUUGGGAAGAUGAUUCUGUUCUCACUCUCUAUGGCUGGCGGUAAUGGCAGAAUAUUUAGAGGACUGCAGCUGUCAAGGAUCCUUUUCCACAGAACAUGGAUGUGUUUCAGUUACUGACCAGAGCAUUUAUAGCAUGGAAAGGCACAAAGAGGUGACGCCCACUUCUGCAGAACAUGACAGGAGUUCUCUAAACAUUUCCUCUAAGAAUUCUUUGUAACUGAAAUGAGUCAGCUAAACUGGAGAACUUUGCACUGUUUUCAUUGCCAUUGGGCAACACAUGGUGACAGGAACUGGUUAAGUCUGCACGAUGGCAAAAGCAAUUAAAGUAUUUCUCAUGGCUGGCUGUAUGAGCUAAGGUUUCUACCCUCUCUGCAGAGGUGCUUAAGCCAAAUACUCUUCCCCUCUGCCAUACACAAGAUGCAAUCCUCCACCGACUCCAAUAAGAAUAAGCACACGUGUAGCACCUGUACUAGGUUCUCCAUAAAGAGCACAGGAGGGCACAUUACUAAGGCUUUACUUGAUAGCACUUGCCACAAAAGUUAUUUCAUUUUUACCUUGGAGUGACUUCCAUACAGUUUUUGCAGGACAUCGAUAUGGGAGAGCCCAGACUGUUGUUGCUAUUAGCAGUGUUUUGAUGACAGCUCAUGAAUGAAGGCUCUCAUUGCCUUGUCCAAGUCACCCCUGAAGUGCUGCUUACUCAGAGCUACCUGCUAACUACAGUUUGGCAGCUGGAGCCUUCCUGUGUCAGCAAAUGACUUGCCUGUCUCCAGAUCAUUUGAAAUCAGUGGUGAAACAUACUUUAGCAUCUGUAUGACAGACCAGUCAUACCCAAAGCAUAAAAUACAUGCAGCAGGAGUUCAAGUUAGGGAGGGAAAUAUCUCUGAUUAUCAGCAGGUUAAUUCCAACUCAUUUAUCCAUUAAAGUCAUUAACUUAAGUUCAGUGAUGAUGAGAUAGCCUAAAAAAGCCCUGAAUGAUGAGGGUGUUUUCUCCAGGCUUCACAGAGCAGUGUGUCAGCAUAUCCACUCUGCACCUUUAUGUGGCACAAAACAAACACCAGAAAGCCACAGAAUGUUAUAAUCCUGGGAUUGUCUUAUAUAGCUUUGUGUGCAGUAUAAGAAAAUAAGCAUCAGCUUGGGCAGAUCUCUUAAAGGUGAAGCUUGACUGCUCCUUGUCUGUGCUAGAAGUCUUGUUAGGGACUUCUCAGUAGUAGGAAAGAGACACUGAGAAAAUGAAAGAAACUUUUCUGUAGACAUUAAUCAGUGGACUAGAACAGAGCUCUUCAAAACUUUUUCAGGUAGGAUGGGAGACUCUAAAAUAUCAGAGACCUGACACCUGCUGUAUUGUGGACUAUCUUAUCUAUGUGUAGUCUGACCUUUUUCUUACUCAUGCUGUGCCAGCACCUCUCUCUCAUGUGCACUUCAGCGUGAGGAGUAAUGUCCUUGAAGACUACUUCUUUAGGAAGCACAUGUUGUAGCAGCUGCCAGAAGACUGAAUCCUUUCUAACCCACACAAACCAAAACUCUGUCUCAUCCUGCACACCCUCAGAAUAUGCAAUCAAAUUUAAUCCAGUGUAACUUACAGACUGCCGCCACCAACUCAGAGCCUUUUCCAGCAGCGUGAUGAGCUUCCUCCACUGCCACUGAGUGUGAUUGCUGUGGGAUCACCUCCAGAAAACACAGCCUGCUUAGACAACAGGUGUUCUUCCUGCAGCUCAGAAUAUGUCUCUGUGCUGAGCCAGCUCUUCGUAGGAACUUUGCACACAGUGCUGUGUAACUGCUUUUUACUGAAAGGAACGGAUUUUCUGGUUUUGGAAAACAAAUCCAUUACUCGGUGUACCUUGGCAGUACUUCUGCCCUUCUUAGAACAGUUUCUCUAAGGAAAAUCUUUUAAAAGGGACCUCAUAGUCUCUCUGACUUAUUACACUCCUGUAGGGGUCUUGUCUUCAUCCGUAAAAUUAAUGGCUUAAUAAGCAUUAGAUCCUCCUAUUAUAUGGUAGCAAAUAGGAAUACAAUACUUUUAUCAAUAUUUGGCACAAUUAUUUUUUUUUAUGUGAAACUAAAAUAUUGAUGCUGUCAAGUGACUGUAGCUUAGGGGCAUAAAUUACAAACGUUCUUCUCCAGCGAGCCCAGCUCAAAUUCUGCAUUCAUAUACAGUAACCAUCUAAUGUCUUUCUGUUCCUGUAAGCCAUAUGAUUUGAUUGCCAGAUUACAUGAUUCUGUAUUGAAAUGGCUGUACUCGGACGGCAGUGUUUUUAUUGUUAUUACUAAGAUUAUCUUUUGUUCUUACUGUAAAUGGUAACAAAACAAUAACUGCUUCCUUACACUAUAAAAGGAAUAAAGACCCACUUACAGAAUGUCUCCAAACAGAAAACGUCCCUAGAGAAAAGACAUUUGGAAUAAAUAAUUCAUGGAACAGUGGGAGAGUAGGGGAAAAAAAAGGUAUUUGCUGUAUUCUGGUACUUCAAACUGGAUGUUUUAAACAGAGGCUGUUUUAAUGGAGAGCAAGAUGUGCUUUAAGGAAGAACAGCUGUAGGGAAGUCAGUUCUCUCUGCAUUUGUACCCACACU